CAAGAACUCAAGAAAAUUGCCAUACGGCUUGAGGAAAAGAUUUAUACUACCGCCACCAAUGAAAUAUUUGCCUAAUGCGAGUUUGAUUAUCUGCGUAAAAUAUCUCUGGAGAUGCUUUCGAUGGAGAUCAGGUCUCAAAAUGCCAUGCCCACUGCCCCCAUGGAUCCAGCAGCCGCCUCUUCUUCCCCCAACCCUGAAAAUUGUCGGAGGACAAUUUUAUGCUUUGAA
This is a long non-coding RNA of Populus euphratica (Euphrates poplar), 228 nucleotides long. RefSeq lists it as uncharacterized. Lineage: Eukaryota; Viridiplantae; Streptophyta; Magnoliopsida; Malpighiales; Salicaceae. The transcript has 3 exons. The record is from RefSeq and is a predicted model, not a curated record.